Molecule: ribosomal RNA, 197 nt
Filed under: uncultured bacterium
Lineage: Bacteria
Description: partial 16S ribosomal RNA
Rfam family: Bacterial small subunit ribosomal RNA
Source: RNAcentral
GGCUGAAAUUCGCCUUCAUGAAGCCGGAAUUGCUAGUAAUGGCAGGUCAGCAUACUGCCGUGAAUACGUUCCCGGGCCUUGUACACACCGCCCGUCACACCAUGAGAGUUGGGAUACCCGAAGCCUGUGAGCUAACAGUAAUGGAGCAGCAGUCGAAGGUAGAAUCAAUGAUUGGGGUGAAGUCGUAACAAGGUAAC